This 348-nucleotide unclassified non-coding RNA is filed under the name soil metagenome. RNAcentral's name for it is "partial contains 5.8S ribosomal RNA, internal transcribed spacer 2, and large subunit ribosomal RNA". The stretch from base 1 to 120 matches the Rfam family "5.8S ribosomal RNA", at positions 35 to 154 of the family's 154-position model. The record is from RNAcentral.
GAUGAAGAACGCAGCGAAAUGCGAUAAGUAAUGUGAAUUGCAGAAUUCAGUGAAUCAUCGAAUCUUUGAACGCACAUUGCGCCCGCCAGUAUUCUGGCGGGCAUGCCUGUCUGAGCGUCAUUUCAACCCUCAUGCCCCUAGGGCGUGGUGUUGGGGAUCGGCCAAAGCCCGCGAGGGACGACCGGCCCCUAAAUCUAGUGGCGGACCCGUCGUGGCCUCCUCUGCGAAGUAGUGAUAUUCCGCAUCGGAGAGCGAUGAGCCCCUGCCGUUAACCCCCCAACUUUCCAAGGUUGACCUCAGAUCAGGUAGGAAUACCCGCUGAACUUAAGCAUAUCAAUAAGCGGAGGA